Long non-coding RNA from Papilio polytes (common Mormon), 300 nucleotides. RefSeq lists it as uncharacterized. The record is from RefSeq and is a predicted model, not a curated record. Lineage: Eukaryota; Metazoa; Arthropoda; Insecta; Lepidoptera; Papilionidae. The transcript has 3 exons.
GCGCAGCGCGCGGCGCUCUCCAUCACCGCCAACUGCUGCCAGAAUCUCACACCAGACGAAUUCCAUCUCGUUAGGGACUCUCUACAGCUACUAGCUAACAGAUUAACACAGCAAGACAAGAAAUCGGUGGAGUGCGUCUGCAUGGCGUUCUCACGACUUGUAGACAGCUUCCAGAACGAUCCGGCGCGACUUCAAGAGAUCGCUACACCAGAGUUGCUUACAAACUUGCAGCAACUUCUGGUGGUGCAGCCGGCGCUAAUCUCUGGCAGCACGUUCAUCACGGUGCUGCGGCUGCUGUGG